UUGACACAGAGGCGCUACAAGUGGUCGCGAAUGUUUGCUUGUGGUCGGGUGUUUUGCUUUGGAUGCCGCCAAAUUUUGCUUCAUCUUGAUCUCAUUCCGGAGAAAGGAGGCUAUUUCAUUUUGCACGGAGACUUGUCAGCUUAUGUGUAUCGCUUAGCAAUUACGUUGGACUAACGUGUUUUCAAAAUGACAUUGAUCGAGAUAAGGAAUUGGACACCAGAGUAUUACGUCGUAAAUCAGUCGAACUGUGAACAGAUUCUAAAAGGUCCAGAUACACUAAUGGAUAUACCUUUAUUGAAUAACGCUCAACGCUGCAUGAUAUUAAAGACAAAGAAUUGGUCAGAUUUUGAGGGAUGAUUUAGGAUAUAUACAAUCCUGAGUAUUAUUUUAAGCAGAGGUGAAAAACACAAACACUUGGGAGUGACGUUAGAUGUGGAAUGUACACAGAUGCAGCUUGUUGCCUGCCACACGAGGAAAUUUUGAUGUACUCCAAGAAGAAUAAAAAUGCCGAGAGACAAACUUAUAUUGUGAUCUCUGUAUCUGAACGAAAUGACUGAGCAAGGGAAAGGAAUACGAGUACACGGACACCUGAUAUGAUCAACAUGCAGUAACAAUGUCAACAAAAGGAGCCUGGAUGAUGACAACUUAGAGGAAAUGGAUUAUUUGGAACCAGUUACAAAAAAAGAGAGAAAAUCUCGGCGGGUAACAAUGAUGCAAAUAUACGAGCAAGAAGCUUGUAGAUUUGAAGACUAGUUAAGAGGAGCUCGUUGCUUAAAAAAAAAAUCUUUUAUCCAAUAUAUUUCAAUACAUACAUCCUCAAAAAUUAAUAAACUUAUUCGCGCAGAAAUAAAUUUUUCCAUGCUUCAAUAAUUAUAUGUUUGUUCCUACACUUGAAUAGCCUGUUGUAAAUCAUUUAUGUCCGAAAAUUAGAAAAUAGCAAAAUCUAUUGUUAGUCAUAUACUGUACUCAAAAUAUUAGAGUACAAAAAAAUCAUCCUUAUAAAUUUUGGGAUAGUUUUCAUGAUUCGAACAUAAAUAAUUUUUUACCUAGAUUAUUCGCUAAUUUUUUCACAUUUACUUGCUCCUUUUGAUACUAUCGAAGUAAAGUUAUGUAAGAAACGUUUAGAACUUGUAAGUACAGUAAAGUCUGCAUGGCAAAAUCUUGGAAGUUA
Molecule: long non-coding RNA, 1171 nt
Organism: Wasmannia auropunctata (little fire ant)
Lineage: Eukaryota; Metazoa; Arthropoda; Insecta; Hymenoptera; Formicidae
Exons: 3
Source: RefSeq, a predicted model, not a curated record